UUUUUAAUAAGUAGACCUAUACUGACGAUGUAAGGAAUGUUUCUAUGUACAUGAAUAUGUAAAAUGGUUUUUGCUGUCGUUCUGUCCCUUUGUUUGUUGCAUUUACCAGAGGUCUGGAGUUUAGAAUGUUAUAUUUGUGAUAGCGGCUGGACCAAUCAACUCUGUACACAGAAAACUACGACUUGUCAAUCAGGUGAAAUAUGCUCCAAUACGCUUGAAAGAAAACAGUUCGAAGGCCGACUUUUUACAAAGGGAUGUAUGGAAAGGCAGUUGUGUCAUGAUUUGCAAUCAUUAAACGACAGAAAAACCUGUAGAGAUACGCCUUCUGUUUGCGUUCAUUGCUGUGAUAGUACUUUAUGUAAUCAAGGACAGAUAACUCGUAGCUUCUUACCGAUAAUAUUGUUAUCGACAGCCCUGGGCUUGAUAUAAAUGACAGAUUAAUUCAGUGAAAUGGAACCGCGGUUGUUGAGCGGCAAGUAAAUUGGGCAUAAAAGAACCAUUUGAUUUUUCAAGCCUGGUCUCCACUUAUGUUGCGUAGCUCCUGCGAUAAAUCUCUCGAAUACGAUUCUAAAAUUAUAGUUGGCCAAAUAGUAAGUUCGUUGUAUGUGACGUCACAGAAACGACAUCUCAACAGCCCCCAAUAGGGCGAGUCAAAGCCCUAUAUGAGUUCCUACUACUGUACACAGUAAUAUAUUAUAGGCCUAUAUAUAUAUAUAUAGAUCUAAAUUAUGGAACUGUAAAGUCAAAUUAAAUCAACUC
This is a long non-coding RNA of Patella vulgata (common limpet), 759 nucleotides long. RefSeq lists it as uncharacterized. The record is from RefSeq and is a predicted model, not a curated record. The transcript is spliced from 3 exons. NCBI's taxonomy places the organism in Eukaryota, Metazoa, Mollusca, Gastropoda, Patellidae.